UACAUUUUGGUGUARGGUGCACGUUAACUUUUGGUGUUAAGGGGGAAAGUUUAAUUCUUUUAAAUGUAA
RNAcentral lists this transfer RNA (69 nucleotides) under Thermobia sp. XL-2019. RNAcentral's name for it is "tRNA-Gln". The record is from RNAcentral. Lineage: Eukaryota; Metazoa; Arthropoda; Insecta; Zygentoma; Lepismatidae.